Molecule: ribosomal RNA, 521 nt
Filed under: uncultured Glomeraceae
Lineage: Eukaryota; Fungi; Glomeromycota; Glomeromycetes; Glomerales; Glomeraceae
Description: SSU rRNA
Rfam family: Eukaryotic small subunit ribosomal RNA
Source: RNAcentral
AGCAGCCGCGGUAAUUCCAGCUCCAAUAGCGUAUAUUAAAGUUGUUGCAGUUAAAAAGCUCGUAGUUGAAUUUCGGGAUCAAUGUGUUGGUCGUGCCUUGGUACGUACUGGCAUUAUCGAUUCCUACCUUCUGAAGAACCUCGAUGUCAUUAAUUUGGUGUCUUGGGGAAUCAGGACUGUUACUUUGAAAAAAUUAGAGUGUUUAAAGCAGGCUCGCGCUUGAAUACAUUAGCAUGGAAUAAUGAAAUAGGACGUUUGAUUCUAUUUUGUUGGUUUCUAGGAUCGAUGUAAUGAUUAAUAGGGAUAGUUGGGGGCAUUAGUAUUCAAUUGUCAGAGGUGAAAUUCUUGGAUUUAUUGAAGACUAACUACUGCGAAAGCAUUUGCCAAGGAUGUUUUCAUUAAUCAAGAACGAAAGUUAGGGGAUCGAAGACGAUCAGAUACCGUCGUAGUCUUAACCAUAAACCAUGCCGACUAGGGAUCGGAUGAUGUUAAUUUUUUAAUGACUCAUUCGGCGCCUUACG